UACGUAGGUGGCAAGCGUUGUCCGGAAUUAUUGGGCGUAAAGCGCGCGCAGGCGGUCCUUUAAGUCUGAUGUGAAAGCCCACGGCUCAACCGUGGAGGGUCAUUGGAAACUGGAGGGCUUGAGUGCAGGAGAGGAGAGUGGAAUUCCACGUGUAGCGGUGAAAUGCGUAGAGAUGUGGAGGAACACCAGUGGCGAAGGCGGCUCUUUGGCCUGUAACUGACGCUGAGGCACGAAAGCGUGGGGAGCAAACAGG
Molecule: ribosomal RNA, 253 nt
Filed under: uncultured bacterium
Lineage: Bacteria
Description: partial 16S ribosomal RNA
Rfam family: Bacterial small subunit ribosomal RNA
Source: RNAcentral